Molecule: long non-coding RNA, 6768 nt
Filed under: Homo sapiens (human)
Lineage: Eukaryota; Metazoa; Chordata; Mammalia; Primates; Hominidae
Description: non-protein coding lnc-DNAAF5-3:4
Source: RNAcentral
CCUCGGUGCGUUCCCGGUGCUGGCCGCCGCCGCGCUCGCUCCCCGCGCUGGCUUCAGGAGCGACCCGGCCGGUAAUUCUGCAUAUUUGCGGACAUCAGCCCCAAGAAGAACUCCGGAGGGAGUCUGGGGCCGCCGCCGCCGCCGCCGCCACACCGAUCACCUGCCUGGACGCCUGGCCCGGCCCCGGCUGCGAGCUGCGAGCCGCCCUGCGCGCCCACCGCCGGCCCCGCGCUCGCCUCCGGCCUCCUCUUGCAGCCGCCGCCCGGCCGGGCACAGCGCGGCCCAGCACCCCCUCCGCGGCGCGCCCUCGGCUCCGGCGCCGCGCUCCGCCCUCCGCUCGCCGGGGCCGGGCAGCGCCCGCGGCCGAGCCGCCUGGCAGCCACCACCCGCCGCCCGGGGCCUCGCUGCGCCGCCCGCGCGGGCCUGAGGGCGGGCGCAAGGCCGAGUCGGCGCCUCCGCCGCAGCCGCCGCCGGGAGAGGAGGAGGAGGAGUAGGCGCAGGCCCGGCUCGCCGGAGUUGGGCGGGCUCCGCAGGGCGCGCGUGUGGAGCCGGCCGGCGGCGGGGAGAGGGUUAUAGCGCCGCCGCCGCGCCCCUCCCCCGCCCCCGCCCCCGCCCCCCCCCCCCGCCUCCCCCGGAUUCCGGGCCUGGGACCCGCACCUCGGAAGCGCUCGGGGUUCGUGCGGACCCGGCAGGGCCCGGGCGCCGCCGCCGCGGCAGGGAGCACACACGCGCUCGCGCAAGCAGCUAAAUCCAUCAAAGCCCCGCGCCCGGCUCCGCGCCGGGGCUCCGCGCCCCUCCCUCGAGCUUGCCCACCCUCCAGUGCCAGCUGCAAUCCUGCGGCACCGGGUGGGGAGGGAGGAGGCCGCCGCAGAAGCGCCGCCGUCGCCGGCUCGCCUCUCUCGGGCCCCAGCGGCGGCAGCGGGCAGCGCCCAGAGCUGCUGCGCCAAAAAGGGCCAGAGAGCCGGUCCCCGCCCCCGCCCCGGCGCUCCGGCCGCUCUCCACGGUUCGGAUCCAGGGCCCCAGCCUUCCUCUCUCCAUAAAAGGAGGGGGAGUCAGUCUUUGGGGAAGGAGGGGGGCGGGUUUGGGGCACUCACCUGGCGGCUGCCACGCGCCCCCGCCCAGGAUCCGAGGCCUGGGGCAUCUGAAUGAGGACCCUCCACCCACAUUUCCACUUGGGAGCGAGCUCCAGUCGGGGAAAGGGCCUGCAGCCCGCCUCGUCCCCACCCUGGGACCCCGCGCCCCCCAGUCCCCCACUCCCGCGCCGAAGGCAGGGCCGCGCCCUGAGCCGGGAAGUCGAGGGGAUGGAAGGGAAAGGAGCCACCGGUGAGGGUCCCCCGGGUUCUGAGCCUCCCGCGUCGGGAUCCGUGGGGCGCACAGAGCGCCACCUCCGGCCGAGGCGCAGCUCAGAGCGCGAUGCGGGGGAGGAACGCGCGCGGAGGCCGAGGUCUGAGCGUGGCUAGACGGCUCCCACGCCGAGAAAGGGCGGGUGCGCCUGGGCUGGAUGGAUUUCGCCUCCCUAGACCAGGAGGGAUUGGACCCUGACUACAGGUCCAGGUGCUCGUCAGUGCCCUGCCAGGGGGUCUACGCGUCCUGGUACCGGGUCCAGCGGGGUGGCGUGCUGUGCAGACCCCGAGGCUAGACGGCCUAGGCCCCUGGAGCCCAGGAGACGCUUCCUUGGGUGAGCAGCGGAGAAUCCCGCCCGGCCCAGCCGUCACCCCCAACCCUGUCGAUUAAACCCCUGCCCCCGUCGCGGUCGCCCUCCCUCCAGACAAAGGCCGUUAAGGCGCAGCCCCGCGGGCGGUCUUUCAUCCCCAGCUAGGCCAGCUCUAGCAUUUCAAAGGCCGAAUCCGGAGAGCGCUUCGGGGGCUCUCCCCUUCCCCCAAAUAUUUGGGGAGCGACGCCUCUCCCUCCGCUCCCAGUGGGUCGCGUCUACACGCGCCCUUCCACACACCUGCAGGCCCCCUCCCCACGUCUCUCCCUUCCGUUGGCCGCAGCCCCACACCACGACCCCCGCGGUCAAGCAUGCCCUCUGGGUGGUCAGGACCAAGCGGGACCGGGACAGAACCAGGGGAGCCUUGGAAACGUGGAGGAGCCCCUUAAAGCCAGGCCUUGUCCCUCCAGGGGGAACUUGCGGCUUGGGAGGGGACACCCACUGCAUGGCUUCUGGAAAGAGCCGGACUCGCAGGGCCAGGACGCAGGCCGGACCCCGGCCUCAUUCUUCGGCCAGUUAUCCCGGAGUGGCGCGCAUCCUGUCUUCCUGGGCCUCGGACUGCUCGCGCGCAGAGGGGGCCCGAGGACACCUCUGUGGGGUUAGAGGACUCGGUAAGACGGUGUGGAAGGCAAGGAGGAAGGUCGCGUUGUAUUGGGGAUGGGGUACCCGUCCCUCCCAGCUUGAGGGAUCCUGGGGGUCCUCGCCGCCUCUGAGGGCCUAGAUGGCUGCUUCCCUCGGCUCCCCUGCCCGGCCUGGAGCUACGGGUGCGCCCAGCUAGAGUUUAGGGCCACCUGGGGACGUGCAAGGGGCGCUGGAGCGAGGCGGGGGCUGGGGCGGGGCGUGGGUGCUUCACCCGCGGGGGACGCAGAGCUUAGGCGAAAGCGGUGCAGGCAUCUCUCUAAUCGCCGGCCGCUAUUAAAAAUAAAACCGCGACCCGUCGCCAUGGCGACCACAACAACAGCGGCCGCGCGAGGGAGGCGAAAACUUGUGCAGCCGCGCGACAGCCGCCUUCUGGGGAGACUCGGGGCACGACGCACCCGGCGUGGGACUGGGACCCCCCUGCCCGGCCCCGCCACAUUCUCCGCCGGAUCCCCGGAAGACACAAGGAGACGUGGACCCCCACAGGCUUUUUUGGGGGGAUUGGGCGUUGAAACCGCAGGGCUGACUUAACCAAGAGGUCACCGACUUGGAUAAAAAACCCACGCCCGCGCGGACCCCCCUCCCCGGCCUUCGUUUCCAUUCAAACUCCCAGCGUCCUCAUUGCAGCCCCUGGGGAGGGGGACGGAGGGACGAGGUGGGUUUCAGGUGCUCGGCCCAGGAGGGGACGGUGCGACCCGGGCCCCGCCGGCGGGUUUUGCGCGCGGAGGCUGCGGCACCUGCCCCGCCCGCCCUGCCGCGAUCCUUGCAGACGGGGGCGGUCACAUGCUUCUUUCUGGCCAGGAAUCGAGUUUCACUUCCAGCCGCUAUUAGUCGGUUCACACAGUUCACUGCAAACAUUUGAUAAUGAGGCUAAAUAUACUCCCGCGUCGGAGGAGGCGUGGGCGUCCCCGCCCAGGCCCGGGAGACAGAGGCGCUGACCCCGGGACAGAGCCUGGCUUUGUGCGGGAGGCAGACGCGCCCCGCGCGCCGCCCCCGAAACAUUCGCACCCCAUGCUGAGGCGCGCGUCUGGGAGUCCGUGGGCGCCCCGAGGUGAGCCCGGGGCCCCUGGCGGAAGCAGCGGGGAGCUCCCGGCGGGUGCGGGGAGGUGCUGGUGGGAAGCAAGGUGCACCUGGCGGCCUGGGAUGUCCGGUCGCCCCCGGAGCCGGUGCAUCCGGCCUCUCCCGGCGCGCCCCGACGUGCCCGCGGGCUCAUAAUUACCGUGAGUCAGGUGCCCCAAAUAGGCCGAGCGAGGGGGGCCGUCGCGCAGCAGGGGCGGGUGGCCGGACGUCUGCCCGGGACUGGUUGCCUCCCGCCCCUCCCCAAGACCCUGGCACCCAGGGAGGGCGGGAAAGGCCUUGGCCAUUCCUCUGGGUAGGGGACUGGAGAGGGGAAGAAACUUUCGCCGAGUCCAGCGCUGCCCCCUCAUACCCAUCCCCACCCAGGCUGCGUGUCCGGGGCCCCUCCGGGGCUUGGCACCAGCAGGCACGCAGCGAUCGCCGUCGUUGUUAUUUAGUAGUAGUAGUAACGGCUGACAUUUACAGCGACGUCGAUGGCGCCAGGUGCCAAGCUCUUUCCUUGUAUAAUUUCAUGGACACUCACGCAUCAACUCUAAGCGAAGACUUGGAGCGGGGCUCAGCACCCCAGGGGUACCUCUGCAACCUCGGUAAAUAUAGACUAUCCUCAAUUCGCAGGGGCAUUUGUACGUGGGGUGUACAGGCAGGAACAGGAAAGACGCUGUGGCCACCCAGGAGUAGGGGCGGCAGCCAACACCCCCUGGAUCCCCAGUUCCAAGGUGCAGGGAGGGGGGCAGAGGCCAGUUCCCUCCGCUCUCUGCCCCUUGACCUUGGCCUUGGUGAGCUCUGUCCCUAGACUGCCCUGGGUGUCUGUUCCCUCAUCUGAAAAGCGUGAGGCCCACAGCCGUCACUGCACACAGCUGCCGUCACUGCACACAGCUGCCUCCACUGUCGGGAAGCCUCCCUCCUGCCCACCUGCCCAGGAAAAGCUGCGCUAGCGUGCCCUGGGCAAGCGCCCUGCUGGCCACCUGCCUGCACCUGGGUUGGGGGUGGGGGGACCAGCUGAGCACCCAAAUCCUGGCCUCUGCCCCCAGCGCCAGAGCAGAUUUCAGAACAAUUUGUAAUGACGAAACCCCACGUUUCCCUUUAUCUCUGGGCAAGGCUUUCUUCGUCCUAGGCAAUUAAUCCAAAAGCAACACCAGCCGAGUGGGCUGGACUCCUUGAAGAUCAAAACUGCCCAGCGCAGGCAUUAAUUAAGUCAUUAUCUCAGGCCCCCAGCGACUAGGGAUCAGGCCUUUCCAGUUCACACUCUCCAGAAAGGGAGAUAACUGCCCCGCCAGCAGGGUGGGAAGGCUCUCUCUCCAUGUUGUUUUAACUCCCUAUUAAAUCAUUUUAUUUUAAAUACACAAACAGAAAUGAAGUUGAAAAUAGCACAGGAGCCCACUAUCACUGUGUGAACAUUUUGUGAAUGAAGACAUGUAUGAAAGGAUGUUUGGAGGCUUCAAGAAACGAAAGCCGAGAGUCUAGCUAGACCAGAGCCAUCCAGCCCAGGAGCGAUGGCCACGUGUGGCCGCUGGACACGAGAGACGUGGCCAGUCCAAACUGUGCAGUGCGGUAAAGUGGAAGCCGUUGGAGGGCCUCAGGCAGGAACACAAGGUGUCGUGGCAGAAAGGAAGAAGGGGCCGGGCACGGUGGCCCACACCCGUCAUCCCAGCACUUUGGGAGGGAGGCCAAGGCAGGAGGAUCGCUUCAAUCCAGGAGUUCAAGAUCAGCCUGGGCAACACAGCAAGACCCCGUCUCUACUAAAACCCUAAAACUUAGCCAGGCUUGGUGGCAUGUGCCUAAGGUCCCAGGUCCUCGGGAGACUAAGGCAGGAGGAUUGCUUAAGCCCAAGAGUUUGAGGCUGCAGUGAACUAUUAUCACACCACUGCACUCAGCCUGGGUGACAGAGUGACUCUGUCUCAAAACUAAAUAAAUAAACAAUAAUUGUGUUAUUCUGUCUCCAUUUCUCGCAUACUGAAUUUAAGGUGGACUCAGCCAGCGGGUUCAGGCCCAGGGUCUGUCCUGCAGCUACAGUCAGGGUUGGUGGCUGCAGCUGUCAUGGGGGAGCGGUGAGGUUGGGGGAACAGGGGGGCUGGCCUGCAUCCCCCACUUUCAGGUGGGCUCAACUCCGUCUCGUGGCCUAUUGGGGGCCAGCAUGGGCUUCCUUACAGCAUGGAGGCCUCCAGGGUCAAGCUGCCUCUGGGAUGGCAGAGGGCUUUGUGUUCGUGCUCCCACGCCCACAGUGGAGGCAAUACACCCUUUCCAGAUCUAGCAGUACAGGUGCGCAGCACCACACCUCUGUACGCUCUCAGCCUAAGCUGUCCCCAGCCCUCCUGGCCUCUGGAGGAGGGGACGCAGAAACUCCAUCCCGGACAGAGGGAGAGCCAGUGUGUGCACAGGCAGCUUCUAACACUGCUUCGUGGUUUCACACGGCUCCCUCAUGGAGAAGGGGCUGGAGGAGGACAGGGAGGUGUGCAGUCAUCUGGGUGACAUAUGAGGGUGGCUGGGCUUCCAGAUGGCUGCAGUGGAGACCGUAAGAAGAGUGCACGAGGUAAGGCUUCCGAAACGCCCAGCAGGUUCCUGGCAGCUGCAGACAACUCAAUUCUUAGCACUUGCCAAUAGCUGGGGUGUAAACACUCCCGCCGUCGCUAUUUCGGGCUAUGCUCCUUGCCUCCACUGGGUCUGGCUCUUAAAACAGCAAGAAAGCAACUCGGAAGCUGAGUCAGCCCCGUCUCUCCACCGUGCCCACAGAUCCUUCCCUGUUCCAGAGCUCCCGUUGGCAGCCAGCUGGGCUUCUCAGGGGGCAUCUCCAGUCCUGUGCAGUCAGAGAAAACCAGGGAAGCAUCUUGAUCUCACCUAGAAAUUAAGGCCAUCACAUCCAACACCUGCAUUUUACAGGUGAGGAGGCUGACAUUACAAGUAGUGGUGGUGGUGACAUUUGAACCCAGACCCCUGUCCUCCGGGGCCUGUUUCCCUGGGAGCUGCGGACUCUGCGUGGAGACACAGAAAUAGAGACCCAGAUGGCUCCCGUAGAAACAGAGUCACCCCCCAGGGCAGCUGGAAGGGAGUGGGAGAGGACAGGUCCUCAAGGGCCUCUGCUCUCCACUUCCCUCCCCGCCUCGCCGUGUCCUCUCCCUUCCUCUCUCCAACCCCUGCAGGGGGAGGCCUGGCUGGGAAGAGACGUUUUCUGAGUAGAUGUUUUGGCUGGGCAGACUGAGCUUUGAGAAGCAGCCAGGCCGAGCGGGGCUAGGGAGUGAGGGCAUUGGGGAGCCUGAACUUUAGUGACCACUGCCCCUCCCAGGCCAAAGCCGCAAACCCCUCCCAUCCCCAAGGGCUUCAGACUCAAGGCCCAAGUUCCUGCA